Molecule: transfer RNA, 89 nt
Filed under: Alphaproteobacteria bacterium
Lineage: Bacteria; Pseudomonadati; Pseudomonadota; Alphaproteobacteria
Description: tRNA-Leu
Rfam family: tRNA
About the family: Transfer RNA (tRNA) molecules are approximately 80 nucleotides in length.
Source: RNAcentral
GCGGGCGUGGCGGAAUUGGCAGACGCGCGGGACUUAAAAUCCCGUUCGCCUCGCGGCGAGUGUGGGUUCGACCCCCACCGCCCGCACCA